GACGAACGCUGGCGGCGUGCUUAACACAUGCAAGUUGAACGGAAAGGCCCUGCUUUUGUGGGGUGCUCGAGUGGCGAACGGGUGAGUAACACGUGAGUAACCUGCCCUUGACUUCGGGAUAACUUCAGGAAACUGGGGCUAAUACCGGAUAGGAGCUCCUGCUGCAUUGUGGGGGUUGGAAAGUUUCGGCGGUUGGGGAUGGACUCGCGGCUUAUCAGCUUGUUGGUGGGGUAGUGGCUUACCAAGGCUUUGACGGGUAGCCGGCCUGAGAGGGUGAACGGACACGUUGGGACUGAGAUACAGCCAGAACUCCUGCGGGAGGCAGCGGUGGGGAAUAUUGCGGAAUGGGCGGAGGCCAAAUGAAGCAACGACGCGUGCGGAAGAACGGCCUUCGGGUUGUAAACCACUUUAGCAUGUGACAAAGCGUGAGUGACGGUAAUGGGUAGAGAAGCACCGGCUAACUACGUG
This 468-nucleotide ribosomal RNA is filed under the name uncultured bacterium. RNAcentral describes it as "partial 16S ribosomal RNA". It matches the Rfam family "Bacterial small subunit ribosomal RNA", at positions 28 to 507 of the family's 1533-position model. The record is from RNAcentral.